AGUGAACGCUGGCGGUAGGCCUAACACAUGCAAGUCGAACGGCAGCACAGUAAGAGCUUGCUCUUACGGGUGGCGAGUGGCGGACGGGUGAGGAAUACAUCGGAAUCUACUUUUUCGUGGGGGAUAACGUAGGGAAACUUACGCUAAUACCGCAUACGACCUACGGGUGAAAGCAGGGGAUCUUCGGACCUUGCGCGAUUGAAUGAGCCGAUGUCGGAUUAGCUAGUUGGCGGGGUAAAGGCCCACCAAGGCGACGAUCCGUAGCUGGUCUGAGAGGAUGAUCAGCCACACUGGAACUGAGACACGGUCCAGACUCCUACGGGAGGCAGCAGUGGGGAAUAUUGGACAAAGGGCGCAAGCCUGAUCCAGCCAUACCGCGUGGGUGAAGAAGGCCUUCGGGUUGUAAAGCCCUUUUGUUGGGAAAGAAAAGAAGCAGGUUAAUACCCCGAUGUUCUGACGGUACCCAAAGAAUAAGCACCGGCUAACUUCGUG
Molecule: ribosomal RNA, 492 nt
Filed under: uncultured bacterium
Lineage: Bacteria
Description: partial 16S ribosomal RNA
Rfam family: Bacterial small subunit ribosomal RNA
Source: RNAcentral